RNAcentral lists this ribosomal RNA (804 nucleotides) under uncultured bacterium. RNAcentral describes it as "bacterial SSU rRNA". It matches the Rfam family "Bacterial small subunit ribosomal RNA", at positions 36 to 841 of the family's 1533-position model. The record is from RNAcentral.
CAUCAGGGAGGCCCUCCCAUGCAAGUCAGGGGUACAUAAAAAAGCUUGCUUUUUUGAUGACGACCGGCGCACGGGUGCGUAACGCGUAUACAAUCUGCCUUAUACUGGGGUAUAGCCUUUAGAAAUGAAGAUUAAUCCCCCAUAGUCUCUUUAAAUGGCAUCAUUUUAAGAGUAAAGGUUACGGUAUAAGAUGAGUAUGCGUUCUAUUAGUUUGUUGGUGAGGUGAUGGCUCACCAAGACUACGAUAGGUAGGGGUCCUGAGAGGGAGAUCCCCCACACUGGUACUGAGACACGGACCAGACUUCUACGGAAGGCAGCAGUAAGGAAUAUUGGACAAUGGAGGAAACUCUGAUCCAGCGAUGCCGCGUGAAGGAAGACGGCCCUAUGGGUUGUAAACUUCUUUUAUACAGGAAGAAACCUUUCCACGUGUGGAAAGCUGACGGUACUGUAAGAAUAAGGAUCGGCUAACUCCGUGCCAGCAGCCGCGGUAAUACGGAGGAUCCAAGCGUUAUCCGGAAUUAUUGGGUUUAAAGGGUCCGCAGGCUGUUUGUUAAGUCAGGGGUGAAAUCCUACCGCUCAACGGUAGAACUGCCUUUGAUACUGGCAAACUUGAGUUAUUGUGAAGUAGUUAGAAUGUGUAGUGUAGCGGUGAAAUGCAUAGAUAUUACACAGAAUACCAAUUGCGAAGGCAGAUUACUAACAAUUAACUGACGCUGAGGGACGAAAGCGUGGGUAGCGAACAGGAUUAGAUACCCUGGUAGUCCACGCCGUAAACGAUGGUCACUAGCUGUUCGAUGUACAUUG